GACGUAGGGGGCAAGCGUUGUUCGGAAUUAUUGGGCGUAAAGCGCUCGUAGGCGGGACAGGAAGUUCGUGUUGAAAGACCUCGGCUCAACUGAGGGACCGGCUCGAAUACUCUUGUUCUUGAGGCAAUCAGAGGGUGAUGGAAUUCCCGGUGUAGCGGUGAAAUGCGUAGAUAUCAGGAGGAACACCUGUGGCGAAAGCGGCUCACUGGACCAUAACUGACGCUGAUGCACGAAAGCUAGGGGAGCAAACAGG
RNAcentral lists this ribosomal RNA (253 nucleotides) under uncultured bacterium. RNAcentral's name for it is "partial 16S ribosomal RNA". It matches the Rfam family "Bacterial small subunit ribosomal RNA", at positions 524 to 776 of the family's 1533-position model. The record is from RNAcentral.